Saimiri boliviensis boliviensis (Bolivian squirrel monkey) is the source of this 489-nucleotide non-coding RNA. Lineage: Eukaryota; Metazoa; Chordata; Mammalia; Primates; Cebidae. The record is from RefSeq and is a predicted model, not a curated record.
CGCACGGAGGCCUCUGCCUUACAAGGCCGGCUCCGCGCAGGCCCAGCCGGUCACCCGGCGCCUGCUCGGCGCAGGGCGCGGCCGACUCGCCGGGCCGUGGGAACCGCUGGGCAAGGGACUGCGGCGCCCCUCACCUGGCUCUUGCCCCCGACCCCGGGGACGACCGGACCCGGAUCUCUGCGCCCCGCAGGACGCGCGUGGACGAUCGCCAGGAAAGGGCACUGGAUCUUGCUCAGCCGGGACAGGUGGAUCCUGAUUCAGCAUGCGGGCCCUUCAUCUGGCUGUGGCUGCCUGUCCAGUGGCCCUUCCAGGGGUGACCCUGCCCCCAGCUCUUGCUCCACCCCAGACCUGGACAGCCUCCUUUUACCCUGCAGUUGCUGAAAACCCAAUGACGUCGUCCACGCAGUGUCUUGUUGACAACUGUCACUGGAUUUAAGGGCCACCAGGAUAAUCCAGGAUGAUCUCAAAAUCUUUAAUCGAAUUACAUCU